Molecule: long non-coding RNA, 298 nt
Organism: Populus euphratica (Euphrates poplar)
Lineage: Eukaryota; Viridiplantae; Streptophyta; Magnoliopsida; Malpighiales; Salicaceae
Exons: 2
Source: RefSeq, a predicted model, not a curated record
GUGGGUGGAGUUCUGAGGAUCAAACUCCUCAUCAAUUCUAGCAGGAUUCUUGACCCAAGCAAGCAUACAUCUUCAAACUUCAAAAUAAGAGAAGAAAUUUCAGUCAACACUAUUUAACAUUGUGUUUCCCUUGUAUAUUUAGUUAUUCUUAGACCCUAAACAGUCAAUGUGUGCGACCACAUUGUGUUAGAGAAGAAACUUUCUUUUCUAUAUUCUGAUUGGCUAGGAUGCCUGAUUAUUCUUUGCUUGGAUGUCCGGGUACUCUGAUAUUACACGUGAACAACUGUUAUUCUGCAUA